RNAcentral lists this ribosomal RNA (419 nucleotides) under uncultured bacterium. RNAcentral describes it as "bacterial SSU rRNA". It matches the Rfam family "Bacterial small subunit ribosomal RNA", at positions 14 to 419 of the family's 1533-position model. The record is from RNAcentral.
UGAUCAUGGCUCAGAUUGAACGCUGGCGGCAGGCCUAACACAUGCAAGUCGAGCGGAAACGAGUUAACUGAACCUUCGGGGAACGUUAACGGCGUCGAGCGGCGGACGGGUGAGUAAUGCCUGGGAAAUUGCCCUGAUGUGGGGGAUAACCAUUGGAAACGAUGGCUAAUACCGCAUAAUAGCUUCGGCUCAAAGAGGGGGACCUUCGGGCCUCUCGCGUCAGGAUAUGCCCAGGUGGGAUUAGCUAGUUGGUGAGGUAAGGGCUCACCAAGGCGACGAUCCCUAGCUGGUCUGAGAGGGUGAUCAGCCACACUGGAACUGAGACACGGUCCAGACUCCUACGGGAGGCAGCAGUGGGGAAUAUUGCACAAUGGGCGCAAGCCUGAUGCAGCCAUGCCGCGUGUAUGAAGAAGGCCUUC